CACAAAUACAUCGCAGGUCAGAGCAGGACCGACGGGAGCUUGCUCCCUUAGGUCAGCGGCGGACGGGUGAGUAACACGUGGGUAACCCUGCCUGUAAGACUGGGAUAACUCCGGGAAACCGGGGCUAAUACCGGAUGCUUGAUUGAACCGCAUGGUUCAAUCAUAAAAGGUGGCUUUUAGCUACCACUUACAGAUGGACCCGCGGCGCAUUAGCUAGUUGGUGAGGUAACGGCUCACCAAGGCGACGAUGCGUCAGAGGGUGAUCGGCCACACUGGGACUGAGACACGGCCCAGACUCCUACGGAGGCAGCAGUAGGGAAUCUUCCGCAAUGGACGAAAGUCUGACGGAGCAACGCCGCGUGAGUGAUGAAGGUUUUCGGAUCGUAAAACUCUGUUGUUAGGGAAGAACAAGUACCGUUCGAAUAGGGCGGCACCUUGACGGUACCUAACCAGAAAGCCACGGCUAACUACGUGCCAGCAGCCGCGGUACAUACGUAGGUGGCAAGCGUUGUCCGGAAUUAUUGGGCGUAAAGCCGCGCAGGCGGUUUCUUAAGUCUGAUGUGAAAGCCCCCGGCUCAACCGAGGGAGGGUCAUUGGAAACUGGGGAACUUGAGUGCAGAAGAGGAGAGUGGAAUUCCACGUGUAGCGGUGAAAGCGUAGAGAUGUGGAGGAACACCAGUGGCGAAGGCGACUCUCGGUCUGUAACUGACGCUGAGGCGCGAAAGCGUGGGGACGAACAGGAUUAGAUACCCUGGUAGUCCACGCCGUAAACGAUGAGUGCUAAUGUUAGAGGGUUUCCGCCCUUUAGUGCUGCAGCAAACGCAUUAAGCACUCCGCCUGGGGAGUACGGUCGCAAGACUGAAACUCAAAGGAAUUGACGGGGGCCCGCACAAGCGGUGGAGCAUGUGGUUUAAUUCGAAGCAACGCGAAGAACCCUUACCAGGUCUUGACUCCUCUGACACCCUAGAGAUAGGGCUUCCCUUCGGGGCGAGUGACAGUGGUUGCAUGGUGUCGUCAGCUCCGUGUCGUGACGAAUUGUUACA
This 1043-nucleotide ribosomal RNA is filed under the name Bacillus licheniformis. RNAcentral's name for it is "bacterial SSU rRNA". It matches the Rfam family "Bacterial small subunit ribosomal RNA", at positions 47 to 1084 of the family's 1533-position model. The record is from RNAcentral. Lineage: Bacteria; Bacillati; Bacillota; Bacilli; Caryophanales; Bacillaceae.